Molecule: long non-coding RNA, 5597 nt
Organism: Zingiber officinale
Lineage: Eukaryota; Viridiplantae; Streptophyta; Magnoliopsida; Zingiberales; Zingiberaceae
Exons: 22
Source: RefSeq, a predicted model, not a curated record
GCGUGAGAGGCAGGUCAUCGCUUUGCCCCUCCAUCUCCCACGUCGCCCCUUUCCUCGCCACACGGAGUCGAAGGGGAAAGAAGAGGUUGAGUCGGGCUUCUCCUUGCGUCGGGUUUUCUCCUCGGUUUCGACUCCGUCCACCCCGCUUCCUCGCCUCCUCCCCUUCUGCCGGCCCAUUUUCCAAUUUUCGGGUUUCCUCCCUUCCGCUCGACUCGUUGCGUGAAGAGGAGCUUCAGCGACGCGAGCUGUGAUGGGCACCGGGGGCAAGGUUGGCCAGAAUUUUUUGCAUGUUCGGGGAUGGCUUCAUGUAUAUUCAUUCAGUUGUUGUCGUACUCCAAUUUAGUAUUCAUGGUUUCCUUGGCCUAUAGAAAUAUAUGCACAUCAAGGAGCAUAGAGCUGCCAUUUACAUCCAGGUGUUCUAGAUAUCCUAAUGAUGUAUGGUGCAUUUCAACAUCACGUCGAUUAGCUGUUACCCGAACAUCACGUCUAUUUUAUAUGUUAAAGAUCUUAAAAGUCUCUCAAUUGACCUAUUGGUUCCCGGCAUGUUGGUUAAUGCUCAAGUGACUUCAGUUCUUGAGAAUGGGAUAAUGCUAUCAUUUCUUAUACAUACUUCACUAGAUAUGUAUGGCUUUUUAAUUUUUUCAUUGCUUAUAUAUUUUUUGAAGGUGCAAGACUUUGGAAUUGAAUAAGAUACAUUCACCUAGUGACUUAUAAUCUAUAACUGGAAUAUGGAAAGAUAAUUAUGCUCAGAACAAACACAUUCUCAUUAUCGAUGAGUUAGUUACCAUGCUUUCUAAUUCUUUUUUUUUUUUUUGACACGAGCUACACCAAAUAGUGAAUGCAGUCGUUGAAAUGGUAGCCCCUGCGUGUGCUCAGGCAGUAUUGAACGAGAUUUUAUUAGUCACUAAGCGUCCUGCAAUUGCUGCAAUUGUAUCAGAAUGCCUUGUAGCUUCCUCAUUUGAGACUGUCAGAGGUUGGGACAGCUUUAAAUCGUUACUAUCCCCAAGUGGGCACAUGUCCUUCUGGUUCAGACCAUUUGUGCACACCAGGGUGGUUGACUAUUCUGUCGGGCUGUUCCCUCUAUCACAGGACUUGUGUUGUCUGAUCACUGGCCUCAUUAAUAGCACUAUCCAGGUCUUCAUGGUUCCCAACAAUUGUAUUCAUUGUUUGGGGAUUCCAGGAGGCAUUACAGUGCACUACAUGGUGUCCUAGUUGCUGGCAUCCGGUGCAAAGCUUCAAUGUAGAUUCAAAAUGCAGCUGUAAAUCCACUUCACUCCCAUCCCGUAGGGUUGCUUCAUUGUGGCCAAUAGAUCAAUUACUUAUUGCUAUGAAAGGAGGUUUUUGUCCUACUUUUCUGAUAGUUUUAGAGGAUGUGGGUGAUACAUAUGCAACUUUAGCACUAAUGUAUGGAUAUGAUGCUAGAUAUGCUCCUUCAACAAGUCAUUCAAGCUAUAGAAUAAUUGCACUAGUGGUCGUGUUGUCAUCAAUUCUUCUGAAAUGAGCAUCUCAUUCCCUUUAAAAUAAAGAGAUCAAAUGCUCGAUUAUGUCCUGAGAUUGAUGGGUGAGAUGAGAAUGAGUUGGUUGAUUCAAGCUGCAAACUCAGACUCUUGCUUUGUGUGCGUGUAAAACUCGGGUUUUAGUGGAACCAUGAUUGAAGCUAGAAACCGCAUUCUAAAGGCGACUUUCAGUUUCUUUGUUUUACCAAGUGAUCCUUCCGAUAUUAUCCAUCCACUUGUAGACAAUUUAAUUUCAUUAUUAUGCGCUAUUCUUUCAACCAGAUGUUUUUUUCCUAUAUCUUCUCUAAUGCUUGCACAUUUUCCCACAUGAAGAGCGGCAGUCCUAAGUCUAGCCUUGACUCUCAGUGGAUUUGUUACUUUGGAGUACUGGCUGAUAGCUCAUUCAUAAGGCGGUUUGCUGCUAGAAUGCUUAUUGGGAAGAAACCUGCCCAAGCAUUGCUCCCUACCAACAAAAGUCUAUUACAAAGCUGUGUGUGAAAACGACAAAUGGGGUGAGAUAAUCGAAGGUUUUUGUUGAGAUUGAAGAUGUUGAGCCUAGCAAAAUGAGUUUAAAGGAAAUUGAAGGAAGAUUGUGAUCAUGCGUAAAGGUGGAAACUAUCUCUCAAAGAAAUAGUGUUUGGAAGGACAACUAGAAAGAGCAUGCUGUGAAAAGAACUCCUUCAAUGAGUGAGCUCAAUGAAAUAAUGCUGGGCAGGGCUGCUGAUAUUAAAACAUGAAAUCAAGCAAUGGAAUGCUUUACCAUUUUUUGUGAGCUCUACAAAAUCAUGAAAGAGCAAGAAUCCCAAGGUUUCCGGUGAAGGCAUUUCAUGGAUGGUAUCUACAGUUGAAGACUUUGGAAUUACGCCUAUAAAGUUAAAGAUUACAAGUGACACCAGGAAGCUUGUCUAUCACGCUCAAAUCAUAUUGCUCGAGUUGAUGCUUGCACGGAUUUGUUUUCUUGCUGUGUUGGGAGUUAAAUUCAUUCCAUUCUGCCCUGAUAACUACUGCUCUUUUGUAAUUUGAGAGCUUGCUUUUCUUGGAUGCUAAGAUUUCUAUAAUUGCAGAGUCAGGUUUUCUGGUGUUUGGGGGACGAAAUCUACUUGAGCUGUUUUUGAAUUCUUUCAGAAGACUUGAUAAGCUGCUGAAAUGAUAGAUUCACACACUAGAACAAUUUGCAGCCACGAACUUUCAGGACUCUUAUUCACAAAAAGGAACUGAAACUUACAAGAGAUUGAUGCCUUGCUGCUAAACUCAAGUAAAACUCCGGAUGUUUUUCCGUGUUUUGCAAGAGUGAACUAAAGGUACUUAUAAAGAAGAGAAAAGCGUGAACUGGGUGCUCAUUGGGUCCAUCAUCAUUCACGGAUUCCUUCUUUAGCACCUUUCCAAUGAAGUCUAUACAACUUUCCAACAAAGUCUAUAUGACUUAUCUUACUUUUUAGGCUUUAUUUCUGAUAACAAGUGAGUGGCUCCUCGAGGCUCAAUACAUUGUUAUGGGGAAUCAAGGUUAAUUAGCUGUUCCUUUCAUGGCGGCGUGUUCUUGAUGCUUUUUAUGACAUCCUGUAGUUGAAAGUAGCUUUUCCAGAGCUCAAGGCGUGCUGCUUUGGCAUUUGAUAGUUGUUUCAACUGUACCAAUAAGUUUCUUUUCCUUCAUGGUGGCUUCUGCGUUGGAAGUCGUAUUCUUUGAUAACUUCCUUUGGAAGAGUUGUUGUUAGCUUCUUAGCUUCAAGUUUGGCUAUUCUUUCUUCAAUAUGCAGCAGCUUCUCCUGUAUUUGUACUAAAAGUUGUAUUUGUGUAUUACCUUGCUUCAGUAAAGCUCCUGAGCUAGAGGUUGGUUCUUUGUACUCAGCUGGUCUGCAAAAACCAAUAGCAGGUGCCUCGAUUUCUUCUGUAGCUUGGACGGCGUCUCUAUAACUCUGGCUGGCUUGGGUGUUGAUAUAGCUCAUGUGCCAGUCCAAGAUUCUACCUUAUGUAGUAAGGUUUCAACUCGCUCCAGCUUUUUCUUUAAUUCUGCAGAUAAUUGUAAAGCAUAUUUUUCUAUCAACUUGGGUUGCUCUACUAUUUUUAGGAUCAACUCUUGAACUUUAGACUCUGUAAGGGGUCUGUUGUCUAUUACCUCUUUUAUUAGGUUUACUAGGGCUUUGUUUGUCUUUUGGUUUUCCUUUUUCAAAAACUCCAAUUCCUCAAGUAUGGUUUUAAAGUUUUUAAGGUGGUCUCGACAAGAUAAACAAACACGGUCGUAUACAACUGAUAAGUUGUCUGAUAAGUUGUGAGCUAGUUCUUUUGUUGAUGGCUUUGUUUCAACUAGGUCAAGGUCUUCUAAGUUCGAGGUAUCAGAUUUUGAGUACCACUCUUCUAUAGCUUCUUCCCAACGUCUUGACAUUUAACCAAGAUCAUUUACGGCUUAGUGAGUGCUAGUUUGUUUUCUUGCUCACCCGACGGACUGCUGCUACCUCCUGCAGUCUUACGCGUACUGUGGUCUUUUGCAAUCUACUGGUAGCUACUCAGGUCGCCUUAUUAUGAACUGGGCAAAUCUCUUGAAAUUUGGCAGCCUUCAAAAGCUAUGGUUAAAUCAUUACCCCAGGGACCUCUCCUUUUGAAUACCUUGGCUAAGAGGUUUAGUUAGCCAUAUGAACAACAAGCUCUGAUACCAAAAAAAGAAAGCGUGCUUCUAAUUGCAAAUAAGAGAUAAUGAACAAGAACUAGAAAGAACUUUCAGGACUCCUAUUCACAAAAAGGAACUGAAACUUACAAGAGAUUGAUGCCUUGCUGCUAAACUCAAGUAAAACUCCGGAUGUUCAUUGAAUUUGUUCAUAUCCCUAAAUGAUUUGUUCAUUGAAUUUGAAAAUGUAAGUUUCUUUUUUGUUUUAUUGAUGCGAAAUGUAUUUUCUAUAUGACUCGUAACUCAUUGCAUUUGUUUUUUUAUUUUCAACACUUUAACACUCUCCUAGAUCAUUCAUUACAAGAUAUGCUCACUGAAAAUAUGUUGUCUUGCAAAUACUUCUUCUUCUGAGUUAAUUAGAAUUUAUAGCAAAUAACAAACAUUCUCCAGUUCAAACAUACUGCACUUUUAAGUUAUUUCAUUAUGCAGGCACUAACUUUUCUAAAUAUUUUAAAGCACCAUGUUGUUCUUUUACUGUUGGUGCAUAAAAUUUUAUUUCUGUUAGACAUGUAAACACAUUUAAAGUUAAAUUGAUUCAUGAGGUGAACAUAUUCUAUUCUUACAGAUAUGCCUUGUGCUUUUUGGCUGUGAAAUAGAUGUUAUCUUUUUGAAAUGCAUUUUGUGGUGUAUUGAAGGUCGGAAAAUGAUCAUUGUGUUUUAUAGCCAUUGAGUGUUGACAUGAUCACUUAUUUUGUUACUGCCAAGUCAUGGAGUUUGUUCAUUCUCCAUAAGUUAAUUGGAUUUCUUACUUAAAUUUUGCCCUACCUGCUGAGUUGAUGGCUGGUGGACGUGUGUGCAUGUAACAUUGAACUUGUAAAACUUACAAAAAAAAAUGCCUCAUUUGGUCAAAUAAGUUUACCAUGUAGAAGAUAUUAGAAUAUUUUGUUAUCUUGGCCUAUUCUACUAUGUAAGUUCAUUUUUCGACUCUUUCUCCCAACUCCAUUUUGGUCUAAAUAUGAUCAUAGCAUAAUAAAAGUUUGCAAUUGUUUUUUUCUUUGUAUGCUUUUCUUGAUAUUUUAUACACCAGAUGGACAAUUAUCAACAAGGAGUUUAUAUUGCUGAGACUAAUAUUCUAGGCAACCAAAAGGCUGUUUUAAGGUUCAUGGUGAUCAAGAUGGAUUGGUAUGCUUACAUGGCUUAACCUGUACUUUUCAAGAGUUUAAAUUUGUGCAAAAUAAAUUCCUUCCCUUAUCAAAGGGGAAUGCACCAACUUACCUUUCAAUAAUUCAAAGAGAGAUAAGUAAAAAAAAAAUCCAUAAACACAAUGAAAAAAGACACAAGAAAGGGAAGAAGAAGAAUGGUAAAUCUUAUUUUACUUUGCUACUGAUGUUAAAUACUAACAUGUAUAUUUUUAUAGUUCAUGUGGAGAAGGCAAAGACUGCCCAAGAGGAAUCAAGGGAAUUGUUGCUGAUGGAGUAAAUAACUAUCCGUCAUUGGGUUAA